Malus domestica (apple) is the source of this 349-nucleotide non-coding RNA. Lineage: Eukaryota; Viridiplantae; Streptophyta; Magnoliopsida; Rosales; Rosaceae. The record is from RefSeq and is a predicted model, not a curated record.
UCUGGCAUUCUGAGUGUAAGGGAGCGGCCGAAAAGCGACACGGCGGUGAGAGUGGAGAUGGGUCGAUAAGGAUGAGAGUUGGGAUGAUUGAAAAAGGUGGGUCUUGGUAUAUGAAGGUGUUGAUAGCUCAGCUACUGCCAUGGUGUUGGCGUGGUAUCAGAGACAAAAGAUGAGAGGGAGAGAGAUGGGCAAACGGGUUUUGAAGAGAAGGUCUGUAUGAAGAUAGAGACAGAGAUUGGUUUGGAGGGAGGGGAAGAGAGGGAGGGUGAUGAAGGAAGAGAGUGUGUUGGAAAAGAUGGAUUUUGAAAUAUUAGUCUAAGGCCAUGCAAAUGACACUUGUCAAUACUCC